GAUGAACGCUGGCGGCGUGCCUAAUACAUGCAAGUCGAGCGAACAGACGAGGAGCUUGCUCCUCUGACGUUAGCGGCGGACGGGUGAGUAACACGUGGAUAACCUACCUAUAAGACUGGGAUAACUUCGGGAAACCGGAGCUAAUACCGGAUAAUAUAUUGAACCGCAUGGUUCAAUAGUGAAAGAGGGUUUUGCUGUCACUUAUAGAUGGAUCCGCGCGGCAUUAGCUAGUUGGUAAGGUAACGGCUUACCAAGGCAACGAUGCGUAGCCGACCUGAGAGGGUGAUCGGCCACACUGGAACUGAGACACGGUCCAGACUCCUACGGGAGGCAGCAGUAGGGAAUCUUCCGCAAUGGGCGAAAGCCUGACGGAGCAACGCCGCGUGAGUGAUGAAGGUCUUCGGAUCGUAAAACUCUGUUAUUAGGGAAGAACAAAUGUGUAAGUAACUAUGCACGUCUUGACGGUACCUUAACAGAAAGCCACGGCUAACUACGUG
This 497-nucleotide ribosomal RNA is filed under the name uncultured bacterium. Its description in RNAcentral is "partial 16S ribosomal RNA". It matches the Rfam family "Bacterial small subunit ribosomal RNA", at positions 28 to 507 of the family's 1533-position model. The record is from RNAcentral.